RNAcentral lists this ribosomal RNA (138 nucleotides) under uncultured bacterium. RNAcentral describes it as "partial 16S ribosomal RNA". It matches the Rfam family "Bacterial small subunit ribosomal RNA", at positions 355 to 509 of the family's 1533-position model. The record is from RNAcentral.
UGGGGAAUAUUGCACAAUGGGGGAAACCCUGAUGCAGCAACGCCGCGUGAGUGAAGAAGUAUUUCGGUAUGUAAAGCUCUAUCAGCAGGGAAGAAAAAAGACGGUACCUGACUAAGAAGCCCCGGCUAACUACGUGCC